UGACGAAUAAGAAACGAAAGUUUUGCUUUAAUAGAUUACUGUUUCCUCAUUUAGAAUAUUUUGAUAUAUUCUUGUUAAAAUAUAUCAAAGAGAGUGAGUUUUUUGCGUCGAGUAUUUCAAGAAUAACUUUUUCGUUUUUAAAUGAAGAAAUCAAUGAUAGAACUUAGUUUAUUUGAGCAAUGUCUUUGGAAAAUAGGUGAACUAUUUAUUGUCCAAUGUCAGCAGGAAAAUUUAAAAUGAUCAUGAUAAAAUUUAUUCUGAAAACGUGGUUACUUUUAUCAAGACAAAAAUUUUAUAUUUCAAAUAUCAGGAAAGUUGGAAUAUUUUAAAAAAGUUUUGAAGUAGUAGAAAAUGUUUAAAGAAUUAAAUUGAAGAGAAAAUAGAAACAACUUAUUCAAACAUGUAUCAUGUUUUUGUUUCUUAAAAAAAAUAAAAGAAUGAGACACGGAGGUGACGCAACAAAAAUGACUGCUUUAAUUUGCAGAAGAAUUGCGCUAUAAUAUACAGUUUGUCUGUCCAUCCGUUGAGCUGGUCAAGAUGUCAUCCUUCUGCGGGAAAUAUAAAUUUGUAUCUAGCGAAAAUUUCGACGAAUUUCUUCAAGCUUGUGGUAAGUUUUUGUUUUUUUAUUUGUCUUUUCUUUCUUUAUCUAAUUUUUCAAAUCCUUUUCUUGAUAUUAAAUUUCAAAAAAUAUGUUUUUAAUACACAAGAAAACAUUACAAAAUUUCCUCUUUAAUAAAUUUGUUUAUCAUAUUCAAAUGUUUUUAUGCUCUUAAUAUGUUAAAAAAUAUUAUCUAUUUUUAAUGAGAGGUUCUUUUACUGACUAAUAGGGUCAAAUUUAGCCGGGGCAUCAUAUCUAGGGCAACCUCAAAAACAUUUUUUAUACAAAAAGUUCUGAAGUUCCCGUUAAACUUUUUUAUAUAUACAACGCUUUAUAAAUUAUUUAUUCUGUUGCAUUUCUUCUUCAUUAAGAAAUGAACUUUUAUUUUAUUUAUAUAUUUUUUGCUUCCGGAAGGUAUCUCGGGCCUCUCUCGACUUUUGAGAAGUCCUGCAAUAAUUUUUUGCAUAAUAAUCAGAAAU
This is a long non-coding RNA of Centruroides sculpturatus (bark scorpion), 1077 nucleotides long. RefSeq lists it as uncharacterized. The record is from RefSeq and is a predicted model, not a curated record. The transcript has 4 exons. NCBI's taxonomy places the organism in Eukaryota, Metazoa, Arthropoda, Arachnida, Scorpiones, Buthidae.